This 302-nucleotide unclassified non-coding RNA is filed under the name Hevea brasiliensis (rubber tree). The record is from RNAcentral. Lineage: Eukaryota; Viridiplantae; Streptophyta; Magnoliopsida; Malpighiales; Euphorbiaceae.
GGAACAUCAGCGGAGGAGCCACUUCGAGAAUCAGUAAUAGCAAUCCUCCACAAGACCCAGUCGAGAUUAUUGUUCGAACCAUCGGCCCAACGCGUCCCUCACGCCUUCUCGCCCCUUCGCCGAUCAAGGUGUGCGACUUGCGGAAGCUGGUCGCGGAGAGUAGUCGAUUACCGAUUGGGAAUUUGAAGCUUAUUUUACGAGGAAAAAUUUUGGAUGACUGUAAGAAUGAAGAUGAUGUUUAUGUGCGGCUCAAUCAUGGCGAUUCAUUGACUGUUGCUGUGAAACCAAAGCCCCCAGCAGAA